GUCGCUCACGAGGUCGCGCCUCGCACCCGCCUUCCUCCUUUUCUUUUACCCUCCCCUUCAGAAAAAACGGCGGUUGGGCUGCGACGGCCGCCAAAGGCGGACUAGAAGCGGAGGGGUGAAAAUCCCGGCAGAGAAGGAAGAAGGGACUGCAGGCGGGAGGAGGAGGAGGAUAAGGAGGAAGGGAGCCCGCCCAGCCGGAGCCAUCUCCGUCGAGAACAAAAUGGCGGCGCUGGCGGAGGGCCAACUAUAAGGCGGGGCCGCGGCCAUUCCCCCUCCACCCCCACCCUUGCGCCGGCCGGGCCGGUCAGGGGGAACCCGCUCGCUUCGCCCGGCCGCGGGCGGGGAGGGGAGGGGAGCGGCCCGGCCCACUAUGCAAAGCGCCGGGCGCCGCCGCCGCCACCCCGUGGCAAAGAAUAUGCUUUUUGUCUAAUGAUGUUAGAUAAAAAGCAAAUUUGGAGCAGUUUUCUUAUUCGAGUUCAAAAUGGUUCAUAAAGCAGCGAAGACAACUCAAAACAUCAGUAACACAUUUGGCCCAGGAACUGCUAACAAACAUACAGUGCAGUGGUGGCUUAAGAAGUUUUGCAAGGAAGAGAGCCUUGAAGAUGAGGAACGUGAUAUGGGCCAUGGGAAGUUGACAACGACCAAUUGAGAGCAAUCAUUGAACUACAUGAAAAAUUACAGAAGAACUCAGCGUUGACUAUUCUACGGUCAUUAGGGUCGUUCAGCAUUCGAAGCAAAUUGGAAAGGUGAAAAAGCUUGAUAAGUGGGUGCCUCAUGAGCUGAGCGGAAAUCAAAACUAUCGUUUUGAAGUGUAGUCUUCUUUUAUGCUACGCAACAACAAACCAUUUCUCAAUCGGAUUGUGACAUGUAAUGAAAAGUGAAUUUUAUACAACAACCAGCUCAGUGGUUGGACCAAGAGGCAGCUCCAAAGCAGUUCCCAAAGCCAAACUUGCACCAAAAAAAAGGUCAUGGUCACUGUUCGGUGGUCUGCUGCCCAUCUGAUCCACUACAGUUUUCUGAAUCCUGGUGAAACCAUUACAUCUGAGAAGUAUGCUCAGCAAAUUGGUAAGAUGCACCGAAAACUGCAAUACCUGCUGCCUGCAUUGGUCAACAGAAAGGGCCCAAUUCUUCUCCACGACAACACCUGACUGCGUGUCGCACAACCAGUGCUUCAAAAGUUGAAGGAAUUGGGCUACAAAGUUUUGCCUCAUCCACCAUAUUCACCUGACCUUUCGCCAACUGACUACCACUUCUGCUAGCAUCUUGACAACUUUUUGCAGGGAAAACACUUCAGCAUGGUGCAGAAAAUGCUUUCCAAGAGUUCGUCAAAUCCUGAAGCACGGAUUUUUAUGCUACAGGAAUAAACAAACAUUUCUCAUUGGCAAAAAUGUGUUGAUUGUAAUGGUUCCUGUUUUGAUUAAUAGAAUAUGUUUUAGCGUAGUUACAAUGAUUUAAAAUUCGCAGUCUGGAAAUUUAAUUUUUGCAUCAACCUAAUAUUUCUAUGGUAAAUCCUUGCAAACAUGGAAACAAUGCAUUUGGCCCAGUGCUUUGUGGUUGUGUACUCUUUUUCUUUGUUUUUUUAAUAGAUGGCAUUGGCCGGGCAUGGUGGCUCAUGCCUGUAAUCCCAGCAUUUUGGGAAGGUGAGGUGGGUGGAUCACCUGAGGUCAGGAGUUCAAGACCAGCCUGACUAACAUGGUAAAACCCCAUCUCUACUAAAAAUACAAAAAAAUUAGCUAGGCGGGGUGGCGGGCAUCUAAUUCCAGCUACUUCAUGAGGCUGCGACAGGAGAAUCAUUUGAACUCGGGAGGCAGAGGUUGCAGUGAGCCGAGAUCACACCAUUGCACUCCAGCCUGGGCGAUGAGCGAAACUGUCUC
This 1874-nucleotide long non-coding RNA is filed under the name Homo sapiens (human). RNAcentral describes it as "FGD5 antisense RNA 1". Lineage: Eukaryota; Metazoa; Chordata; Mammalia; Primates; Hominidae. The record is from RNAcentral.